Molecule: non-coding RNA, 28 nt
Filed under: Mus musculus (house mouse)
Lineage: Eukaryota; Metazoa; Chordata; Mammalia; Rodentia; Muridae
Source: RNAcentral
UAGGUAAUAGCCAGAAAGUCUACAAAUU